Molecule: long non-coding RNA, 966 nt
Organism: Peromyscus eremicus (cactus mouse)
Lineage: Eukaryota; Metazoa; Chordata; Mammalia; Rodentia; Cricetidae
Exons: 5
Source: RefSeq, a predicted model, not a curated record
CUUUUGAUGUCACCACUGUUGAAGCAACACCAACUGCCAUUUGGGGCAUUUGUACAGUACCUCUGGAAUUCACAAAGACAUAUUGGUGAGACUGAGAAAGCUACUUGGGAAAGAGUAUGGACAGCCUAGAGAAGAGAGAGAGGCAGAAGGAAGCUGGUCAUCUGUCUCAGGAUAAAACAUCAAGAAAUAAAUGUUCCAGGGAAAGGAAUGACUGGAAAGGCAUCAUUUCAACUCUCCCCUCACUGAGCAGGAUCUGGACAUGAACAAGGUGGAGAAAAUGACCAAUCAGCUACAGAUGAUGACCUGUUAGAGGAAUGAACUGCAUUGAAUCCUGGACCAUUAUACUAAUAAUGAUUUGAACAGCAGAACAUAUCUAAAGACCCAGAAAUGAAGAUAAAUGACAGAGAAUAUAUUUCUGUGGACAAGAAACAGUGUCUGUUUCUUGAUCAAACUACAUCACAGUAUUUACAUCGAUCGGAGCCAGCUCGCCAGAAGAGGUUAAAGAGGAGGGUUCGAAAACUUUUUGGAAGUCCGGAAGUUAAAGUUUGUCCUCAGGGAGAGCCUCUACCUAAUACCUCUGAAGAGCAAACACCCCUAAAGACCCAGCAAUAAAGAUACUUGAUAGAGAAUCUAUACUUCCAAGAUUUCCUCCUGGGGACAAGAGUGACUAUAUGUUGAUGGAGGAAAAGUAUACACUGGGUUGGACAGCCCCAUCAAACAUGAAACAACAAAGGAAGACUAAGUCAGCAGACCCAUAGAUCUGAUUGGGGCUGGAUCACCUGAAAGACAGCUGGUAUUUUCUUCACUGGUGAGUUCACAGCUCUAAAGGAGUGUCUUCUGAGGAGGAGGCCUUGAUCUCAGAGUAUAGAAUGUCAUGGGUUCAAGGCAUCUGUGGUUUUUUGGCCUCCUCAGUUUUCCCAAUAUCUGCUAUAUGAGAAGGAAAGGCAAUCAGACCCAGAAGCAGCC